This 65-nucleotide transfer RNA is filed under the name Torymus sp. ZJUH_2016035. Its description in RNAcentral is "tRNA-Ile". Lineage: Eukaryota; Metazoa; Arthropoda; Insecta; Hymenoptera; Torymidae. The record is from RNAcentral.
AAUGAUGUGCCUGAAUAAAGGGUUAUUUUGAUAGAAUAAAUUAUAUAAAAAAAUUAUCUUCAUUA